GCACUGCCGGGGAGUCCCACACCAGGACGAAACGGCCGUCCAGUGC
Molecule: non-coding RNA, 46 nt
Filed under: Schistosoma mattheei
Lineage: Eukaryota; Metazoa; Platyhelminthes; Trematoda; Strigeidida; Schistosomatidae
Source: RNAcentral